AGAGUUUGAUCCUGGCUUAGGAUGAACGCUGGGCGGCGUGCCUAACACAUGCAAGUCGAGCGAUUUACUUCGGUAAAGAGCGGCGGACGGGUGAGUAACGCGUGGGUAACCUGCCUCAUACACAUGGAUAACAUACCGAAAGGUAUGCUAAUACAGGAUAAUAUAAGAGAUUCACAUGGUAUUUUUUAUCAAAGCUGCGGCGGUAUGAGAUGGACCCGCGUCUGAUUAGCUAGUUGGUAAGGUAAUGGCUUACCAAGGCGACGAUCAGUAGCCGACCUGAGAGGGUGAUCGGCCACAUUGGAACUGAGACACGGUCCAAACUCCUACGGGAGGCAGCAGGUGGGGAAUAUUGCACAAUGGGACGAAAGCCUGAUGCAGCAACGCCGCGUGAGUGAUGAAGGCCUUCGGGUCGUAAAACUCUGUCCUCAAGGAAGAUAAUGACGGUACUUGAGGAGGAAGCCCGGCUAACUACGUGCCAGCCGCCGC
RNAcentral lists this ribosomal RNA (486 nucleotides) under uncultured bacterium. Its description in RNAcentral is "bacterial SSU rRNA". It matches the Rfam family "Bacterial small subunit ribosomal RNA", at positions 8 to 518 of the family's 1533-position model. The record is from RNAcentral.